Phrynosoma platyrhinos (Desert horned lizard) is the source of this 72-nucleotide non-coding RNA. Lineage: Eukaryota; Metazoa; Chordata; Lepidosauria; Squamata; Phrynosomatidae. The record is from the annotation of a GenBank genome assembly.
GUCAGUGUGGCAGAGUGGUUUGAACAUUAGACUAUGACUCUGGAGACCAGGGUUCGAUUCCUUGCUUGGCCA